This 238-nucleotide long non-coding RNA is filed under the name Physcomitrium patens. RNAcentral's name for it is "long non-coding RNA (PPAT_LNC008508)". Lineage: Eukaryota; Viridiplantae; Streptophyta; Bryopsida; Funariales; Funariaceae. The record is from RNAcentral.
UUCAUUGUAUUUCUUAUUGUGAUGUUAAAGUUUUUAUUUAUGAGUCAAGGUAAAAAUGAAAAAAAAGUGAAAACAUGUAAUAAAAAAUUAAUAUGUUUUCAAGGGCAAUUGUUUUUUUUGUUUUCCUUACUUUCCUUAUUUUUUUUUGAGAACACACCUGUGGCAUUAGUCACAAUGUUGAAGUAGUACUUUCCCAAAAUUCAACCACCCUGCUCAACAACAUAAAGGUAUUAUUUUU